Long non-coding RNA from Pogoniulus pusillus (Red-fronted tinkerbird), 1149 nucleotides. RefSeq lists it as uncharacterized. The transcript is spliced from 7 exons. The record is from RefSeq and is a predicted model, not a curated record. NCBI's taxonomy places the organism in Eukaryota, Metazoa, Chordata, Aves, Piciformes, Lybiidae.
AGAACCCUGCACUUGGCCUUGUUCAAUCUCAUCCCCUUGGCCUCUACCCCCCAUCCAGCCUGUCCAGAUCUCUCUGCAGGGCUCUCCUACCCUCCAGCAGAUCCACACCUGCUCCUACCAAGAAGACACCAGUCACAGCCUGUGCCCCUGGCAGGGGAGAAGGGCACUUGGCUGAGGAUGGCUAUUGAGAGUGUCCUGCUGUGCUGCCAGCUGCUGCUGCCACCGAUGAGGGCUGAGACACAACCACCACAGCUACUUCUUUAUUUUUGCCAGCAGGGAAAAGAAGCAAGUCUCUACAAAUACCAGGUUGCCUUUGAAAAAGAAAUAAUAACCAUCAGCAACAAGUCGUAGCUCACCCAUACGACCUCUGAAAAUGACCGGUGCUCUGAAACAGUAUUCAAGAGAAGCUCCCACCCCAGCGCAGAGGACAAUGGCACCGAGGACGUCCUGCCUUCCCGGCCAAGCAAGCCACGCCAGUUCUGUGGAAGCAUUUCUGUGGCUUUGCCUUGUGGAAAGCCAAGAGCAAAGCAUCAAGUGGUGAGCAGGAGCUUCAGCUGGCCCUGGGAUGUCACUUCUGAACCUGGAAGGAGAUGAUUUCUUAUGGGUCUUAAUGCACCAGUCUUCAGUGGUGUCAGGUCAUCUGAGGUUCCCCACCUGUCAGUUGAGGAUAAUGGCAGCUGCAAGCCCCAGCAAAGCACAUUAUCUGUGAUGCCUUCAUCUGUGUCCCAGAGCAAGAUGUUUCAGUUUGUUCUGUUACAGAAGUGAAAAGCGUUGAGAUUGGUGCAGCUGAGCACCCAGCAGGUUCACAACCGAUGUUUAAGUCAACACUGACAGCAUGACAGUGAGCUGGCAGAGCUCUUUCUCCUCUCCAGUCCCAGAACAUAAGCAAAAGAUUUAGGCCUGUCUACACCAUGGACCACUUACCUGGCAACUUAAAUCUCCAAAGGAACAGAGGAAAACAUGGAAUGAGAAAGCAGAGACAUACCUGUCCCUCAAACUACUCAACAAUACUUCUGCAAGAGGUUCCCCAAAAUCAGCAUUACUCAUGUGGUGACACAAACAAUUCAGGACAUGUCCUCUGCAGGGAGAAGUGUUUGAUGAGGGAGGUCGCUUCAGAGCUGCUGCGCUGUUGACAGGUAGGGAGCACUC